ACAGCCAUUGUAAAUAAGUCU
This 21-nucleotide small nuclear RNA is filed under the name Arabidopsis thaliana (thale cress). RNAcentral describes it as "snRNA_12830". The record is from RNAcentral. Lineage: Eukaryota; Viridiplantae; Streptophyta; Magnoliopsida; Brassicales; Brassicaceae.